This 337-nucleotide ribosomal RNA is filed under the name uncultured Anaerolineaceae bacterium. RNAcentral describes it as "bacterial SSU rRNA". It matches the Rfam family "Bacterial small subunit ribosomal RNA", at positions 1033 to 1382 of the family's 1533-position model. Lineage: Bacteria; Bacillati; Chloroflexota; Anaerolineae; Anaerolineales; Anaerolineaceae. The record is from RNAcentral.
GACAGGUGCUGCAUGGCUGUCGUCAGCUCGUGUCGUGAGAUGUUCGGUUAAGUCCGCUAACGAGCGCAACCCUCGCUGUGUGUUACAAGUGUCACACGGAACUGCCGGUCAUAAACCGGAGGAAGGUGGGGAUGACGUCAAGUCAGCAUGGCCUUUAUAUCCUGGGCUACACACACGCUACAAUGGGAAGGGACAAUAGGUUGCGAAGCCGCGAGGCGGAGCCAAUCCAGCAAAACUUCCCUCAGUUCAGACUGCAGGCUGCAACCCGCCUGCAUGAAGUUGGAGUUGCUAGUAAACGCAGGUCAGCCAUACUGCGUUGAAUACGUUCCCGGGGCUU